This is a long non-coding RNA of Heterocephalus glaber (naked mole-rat), 2097 nucleotides long. The record is from Ensembl. Lineage: Eukaryota; Metazoa; Chordata; Mammalia; Rodentia; Bathyergidae.
CAUGCUUGUAAUCCUAGCACUCUGGGAGGAUGGCGAAGAAGGAUUCCAAGUUCGAGCCCAGCCUGGGCAACUUAGUGAGACCCUGUUCAAAAUUUUAAAAGGGCCAAAGAUAUAGCUCAGUCCUGGGUUUAAUCUCCAAUACUGAAAAAUAAAUAAAAUUGGUUCAACCUGACGUGGUGGUCCACAGGUAGUGGAUCACAAAUUUGAGCCCUGCUUGGUCAAUUCAGCUAUUUAGCAAGACCCCAUCUCAAAGAAUAAAAAUUUAAAAAGGGGAUGUAGCUCAGUGAUAAGGCCCUGGUUUAACCCCCUGUAGAGAGAAAAGUCAGGCGUGAUCACGCACGCCUAUCAUCCUAGCUAAAUGGAAGACUAAGGCAGGAGAAUCACAAGUUGGGGGGCCUGGGGAAUUUAGUGGGAGCCUGUCUCAAAUAAAAUUGGAAACACAACAGAGGAUGCUUUUUCCGCUUCAUUUCUGGAAGCCCCGCCUAUUCCGAGCAAGACGUCACUCAGGGAGCCUCCGUCUCCACGGCGACGGAAUGCAGCCUCGGAAAUCCCUGCGCAAGCGCAGAAAGAUUCCACUGGGGGGGAGGGGCGCGCCAGACCCGCCCCCUUACGCACAUUCAUCUACUGGGACUUCCCCACGGCCCCUUUCUGUGCCCGGUGUCCGCUCGCCCAGUUGACCGUCAGGCGCGAGUCUCUCUCUUUCUGAGGACCGUCCUCUCCUCACUAUGUGGCCUUCUUUGCCAGGAGGCGAUCGCGCAGACACAGAAGGCCCCAGGCCCGGCCGGCCCAGGCCCACCCGUUCGAUCGCAACCGUACACUCGAGUCUGCGCCGGGAAUGUCACACGCGCGGGGUCUCCUGGGAGCUCCCGCCCCGCCCCCUUGCGCGGUGCUGCCUGCGUUAUGCGCAGGCGCUCCUGGGAGCUCCCGCCCCGCCCACUGGCCCAGGUCCGCGAACUACGGCUCCCUGUAGGCAGUGCAGCGGCCUGGACCAGAGCCGGGGUCGCGACGGGCGGCCGGGUGGGCUCGGGCGCGGCGGGGCGGCCUGGCCUGGGUCCUGAGCAGCGGGACAGUCGGCUGACGACGAGGUGCAGGCUCAGCGCUGCCUGGUUACCCCGCGGCCCUGGGUCGAGCGCGCCGGAAAACUCUGGGCAAGUGGGGGCCGGGCCCGGCGGCCUUUCGGAGCCGGGGGCGGUGGCAGCGGACCCGCGCGCCGGGGGAGCGGGGCAGGGCUGGCGCCUCGGUCCCUCCGUCUGGGGCCGCCGCUGGUGCCUGUGCGUCCGCAGCCUCGGCCGGGACCGCGCGGGGCCCCGACGUCCGCAGUCCCGGGCUGACCGCGGCUGACGCAGGGGUCCUGGCCUCCCAACCGCGAGCGCCCUGAGGCGGGACGCGGCGCCGGGGUCGCGCUGUGUCGCAGGUGCUAACUGUGCGUCUCGGCACCCCGGCCGCAGGGUUGGAUCGCUUGGUGCCCACGCCGAAGCUCUGCACGGUCGAGGCCAGUCUCUGGGGUCCAGGAGCCAGGGCUGCAGCCCGAGCCUCAAGGCGGGCCGGGACCGUGGACGACCGGACAGCGUGGCUUUUUACACCCAGUCGCCAUGGCUGUGAGGUUGGGUUUCCUGGCCUCUCUCUCGGGCUUCACCCCACUCACUGGUGGCUGGUCUCCAUGGCACCCAGGAUGCCCACCUGCAUCUUAGAAGCGGCUGUCCGAUGGGAAGAGCCUGUCACGCCCCGUUUUGGGCCAGUUGACUGCCGCACACGAUGUCAGCUUGGCAGUGUCUUUGGGCACAGCCGAGGUGCUAGGAGUAGGACAGCCUCAUGGCCCGUGCUGUCUGCAUCACGUCACGUUAUUCUGAAUAAAAGCAAUCUGACAACUUCUUGCUAAACAUGAUUUAAUUUCUGUAUUGUUGUAAAGCUUUCUAAUAAAGUAUUCACAAAUAGGGAACAGUGUCUUCCUGCACCGUCCUGGGGCUUCUGUCCUCUUAAGAGACGGAUGGUUCUUGUGGAGAGAGACGCGUGUGGGUGGCAGCAGCCCCAGUGGCCUCUGGUGAUGGUGACAAAUACUAAGUGUGUCAGACUGCCUCUAAAACCAUUUUUCUCCAG